This 301-nucleotide ribosomal RNA is filed under the name uncultured bacterium. RNAcentral's name for it is "partial 16S ribosomal RNA". It matches the Rfam family "Bacterial small subunit ribosomal RNA", at positions 509 to 807 of the family's 1533-position model. The record is from RNAcentral.
CAGCAGCCGCGGGAAUACAGAGGGUGCAAGCGUUAAUCGGAUUUACUGGGCGUAAAGCGUGCGUAGGCGGCUUUUUAAGUCGGAUGUGAAAUCCCUGAGCUUAACUUAGGAAUUGCAUUCGAUACUGGGAAGCUAGAGUAUGGGAGAGGAUGGUAGAAUUCCAGGUGUAGCGGUGAAAUGCGUAGAGAUCUGGAGGAAUACCGAUGGCGAAGGCAGCCAUCUGGCCUAAUACUGACGCUGAGGUACGAAAGCAUGGGGAGCAAACAGGAUUAGAUACCCCCGUAGUCCCUGUCUCUUAUAC